CAGUCGCCGCGGUAAUACGUAGGUGGCAAGCGUUAUCCGGAAUUAUUGGGCGUAAAGCGCGCGUAGGCGGUCCUUUAAGUCUGAUGUGAAAGCCCACGGCUCAACCGUGGAGGGUCGUUGGAAACUGGAAAACUUGAGUGCAGAAGAGGAAAGUGGAAUUCCAUGUGUAGCGGUGAAAUGCGCAGAGAUAUGGAGGAACACCAGUGGCGAAGGCGACUUUCUGGUCUGUAACUGACGCUGAUGUGCGAAAGCGUGGGGAUCAAACAGGAUUAGAUACCCCGGUAGUCCCUGUCUCUUAUAC
This 301-nucleotide ribosomal RNA is filed under the name uncultured bacterium. Its description in RNAcentral is "partial 16S ribosomal RNA". It matches the Rfam family "Bacterial small subunit ribosomal RNA", at positions 509 to 807 of the family's 1533-position model. The record is from RNAcentral.